This 203-nucleotide long non-coding RNA is filed under the name Setaria viridis. RNAcentral describes it as "long non-coding RNA (SVIR_LNC000769)". The record is from RNAcentral. Lineage: Eukaryota; Viridiplantae; Streptophyta; Magnoliopsida; Poales; Poaceae.
UAGAGUAACUUAUGGUGCACUUGCCCCGAUGGGGUUCUCUGGGCGAGUGUAUCCUCCCAUGCCAAUGCAACUACAUCACAUGUGUGAACAUUCACCAUUACUUUAAUUUGUUCAUGUACUUGAGGGGAUCCACGUAAACUGUCGUUCUUUUAAAUACUGCUUAGUAGUUGUUAGUACCGUGUGUUCAUGCACCUUGUUACUCC